UCCUGGAGACGAAGAUUUAAAAGACAAGAGGAAGAACACCCAAUCUAUGAAGAGAUUCAGGAGGGAGGACUGCAACUAAAACAGCGUGUGAAUGGUUCUGG
Long non-coding RNA from Scomber japonicus (chub mackerel), 101 nucleotides. RefSeq lists it as uncharacterized. The transcript is spliced from 3 exons. Lineage: Eukaryota; Metazoa; Chordata; Actinopteri; Scombriformes; Scombridae. The record is from RefSeq and is a predicted model, not a curated record.